This 523-nucleotide ribosomal RNA is filed under the name uncultured bacterium. RNAcentral describes it as "partial 16S ribosomal RNA". It matches the Rfam family "Bacterial small subunit ribosomal RNA", at positions 28 to 523 of the family's 1533-position model. The record is from RNAcentral.
GACGAACGCUGGCGGCGUGCCUAAUACAUGCAAGUCGAACGCUUCUUUUUCCACCGGAGCUUGCUCCACCGGAAAAAAAGAGUGGCGAGCGGGUGAGUAACACGUGGGUAACCUGCCCAUCAGAAGGGGAUAACACUUGGAAACAGGUGCUAAUACCGUAUAACAAUCGAAACCGCAUGGUUUUGAUUUGAAAGGCGCUUUCGGGUGUCGCUGAUGGAUAGACCCGCGGUGCAUUAGCUAGUUGGUGAGGUAACGGCUCACCAAGGCCACGAUGCAUAGCCGACCUGAGAGGGUGAUCGGCCACAUUGGGACUGAGACACGGCCCAAACUCCUACGGGAGGCAGCAGUAGGGAAUCUUCGGCAAUGGACGAAAGUCUGACCGAGCAACGCCGCGUGAGUGAAGAAGGUUUUCGGAUCGUAAAACUCUGUUGUUAGAGAAGAACAAGGAUGAGAGUAACUGUUCAUCCCUUGACGGUAUCUAACCAGAAAGCCACGGCUAACUACGUGCCAGCAGCCGCCGUAA